This 272-nucleotide unclassified non-coding RNA is filed under the name fungal sp. Its description in RNAcentral is "partial internal transcribed spacer region". The stretch from base 1 to 46 matches the Rfam family "Eukaryotic small subunit ribosomal RNA", at positions 1786 to 1831 of the family's 1831-position model. The record is from RNAcentral. Lineage: Eukaryota; Fungi.
AAGUCGUAACAAGGUAACCGUAGGUGAACCUGCGGUUGGAUCAUUACUGAUUUUAAGAGGUAAUCCUUUUAUUGGUUUGAUGCUCCCUUUUGGUGAGCUCACCUUUUAGAGGUAUUAUUCUCUUUCUACACUUUGUGCAAACUUGAUGUUUUUUGGGUUUUUAGUUAAUAACUAAAGCCCAGUCAUGUUUUAAACCUUUGUUUUAUUAUUAGUCUGACUUUUGUUAAAUCGUUAAACGAUAACAACUUUUAACAACGGAUCUCUUGGCUCUC